Long non-coding RNA from Carassius carassius (crucian carp), 628 nucleotides. RefSeq lists it as uncharacterized. The transcript has 4 exons. The record is from RefSeq and is a predicted model, not a curated record. Lineage: Eukaryota; Metazoa; Chordata; Actinopteri; Cypriniformes; Cyprinidae.
GGCCCGUACAUGGAGUCAUUCAGUGGCUGGGGCCAUAAAUAAGGGCCAUGCCAGCGGCUAAGCACUGCUUAUUCUACAAGGACACAAGGACUUUGGAGCGCAGACAAAAUGCCUGGAACAAAAGGUAACAAGUCGGACAAGAAAUCCACCACCAAGCAAACUCAGAGUCCUAAGGAGCAGCCGAAGAAAGGUGAUCAAAAAGGAGAUGACGCCAAAAAGCAAGGAGGACAGCCGAAGGGAGAGGAGCAGUAACUUCCAGGCCUUCGUGAAGCUGGCUCUGGAGACUCUCCUGGGCUCUUGUCGACGCAAGCAUGGGGGCCCCCGGGGUAGGCAGGGCUGAGGUUUGCUCCUCCCACCACCCAACCAAUCACCAGCAGCCACUUGACCGUCGCUAGACAAAGUUUGGCCUAAGCAGCAGUAGUCUGUCCCUUCUGUACCUCCUCACAUGGGUCUCAAGUUUGAAUAACACUGGUGAUUUGCUCAUUGGAAGUUGGGCCAACAUAAAGACUCCAGAGAGUCUGUGACCCCGCCCUCAUCUGUUCAUUUGACUCCGCCCAUGUCAUAGAUCUCAGCUUUGCUGUACAUGAACUGAUUUACAAAUAAACAUGAUUUCAUAAACUUGCCAUAA